RNAcentral lists this ribosomal RNA (274 nucleotides) under uncultured bacterium. RNAcentral's name for it is "partial 16S ribosomal RNA". It matches the Rfam family "Bacterial small subunit ribosomal RNA", at positions 523 to 796 of the family's 1533-position model. The record is from RNAcentral.
AUACGGAGGGUGCAAGCGUUAUCCGGAAUCAUUGGGUUUAAAGGGUCCGCAGGCGGAUUAAUAAGUCAGUGGUGAAAUCCUCUCGCUCAACGAGAAAACUGCCAUUGAAACUGUUAGUCUUGAAUUCGGUCGAAGUAGGCGGAAUGUGUCAUGUAGCGGUGAAAUGCAUAGAUAUGACACAGAACACCGAUAGCGAAGGCAGCUUACUAGACCUGGAUUGACGCUCAUGGACGAAAGCGUGGGAAGCGAACAGGAUUAGAAACCCCAGUAGUCC